Molecule: long non-coding RNA, 670 nt
Organism: Galeopterus variegatus (Sunda flying lemur)
Lineage: Eukaryota; Metazoa; Chordata; Mammalia; Dermoptera; Cynocephalidae
Exons: 2
Source: RefSeq, a predicted model, not a curated record
GGCCAAAGUUGCAAAGAUUGGCACUGACGUUCUAGCGACUCGAUAUGAAACCUGCUACAUCUAUGGCCCAAUAACAUCAACAAUUAACCCAACAUCGGGUUCUUCUUUAGACUGGGCUUAUGAUCUGGGAAUCAAACACACAUUUGCCUUUGAGCUCCGAGAUAAAGGCUAUUUUGGUUUUCUCCUUUCAGAAUCUCAGAUAAAGCCAACCUGUAAAGAGACCAUGCUAGCUGUCAAAUUUAUUGCCAAGUAUAUCCUCAAGCAUGCUUCCUAAAGAAUUGUCCUCCGUUUGGAAUAAGCCAGUUAAUCUUUUUUGUGUGUGCCCUUCACCAGAAAGUCAAUCUUCAAAUAUCCUAGAUGCAGCUUUCACACCACCUGAAUAGGUUCUCCUCUUGCUCACUUAAGUCCUGUGUUAUUUCUUUUUAUUUACUCUCAGUAGCACCCUAACAAAGUAGCUUUAAGUGAAGUCUUUUAACUAGCUUUCUUUGCUCCAAAUAAGUUUGAACCCAGCAGAAACCAUUAUUCUGAGUACUUUGAAAAGUGAUAUACAGGGGGCACAAAAAAGAAGUGAAAACCUUCACUUUCUCCAGAAUCAGAUUUUCACCACGUGGUUUCAUCAUUUCAUGUGCUAAUAUAAUAAAAAAUAAAAUGCAUUCCAACGCUUUAAAAA